RNAcentral lists this ribosomal RNA (459 nucleotides) under uncultured bacterium. RNAcentral describes it as "partial 16S ribosomal RNA". It matches the Rfam family "Bacterial small subunit ribosomal RNA", at positions 339 to 795 of the family's 1533-position model. The record is from RNAcentral.
CUACGGGUUGCACCAGUGAGGAAUAUUGGUCAAUGGUCGAGAGACUGAACCAGCCAUGCCGCGUGCAGGAUGAAUGUUCUAUGAAUUGUAAACUGCUUUUAUACAGGAAGAAACCUACUUACGUGUAAGUAGCUGCCGGUACUGUAUGAAUAAGCAUCGGCUAACUCCGUGCCAGCAGCCGCGGUAAUACGGAGGAUGCAAGCGUUAUCCGGAUUCAUUGGGUUUAAAGGGUGCGUAGGCGGAUUAUUAAGUCAGUGGUGAAAUCCUGCGGCUCAACCGUAGAACUGCCAUUGAUACUGGUAAUCUUGAAUGUAGUUGAGGUAGGCGGAAUGUGUAAUGUAGCGGUGAAAUGCUUAGAUAUUACACAGAACACCGAUUGCGAAGGCAGCUUGCUAAACUAUGAUUGACGCUGAUGCACGAAAGCGUGGGGAGCGAACAGGAUUAGAUACCCGCGUAGUC